This 459-nucleotide ribosomal RNA is filed under the name uncultured bacterium. RNAcentral describes it as "partial 16S ribosomal RNA". It matches the Rfam family "Bacterial small subunit ribosomal RNA", at positions 338 to 795 of the family's 1533-position model. The record is from RNAcentral.
CCUACGGGAGGCAGCAGUGAGGAAUAUUGGUCAAUGGACGCAAGUCUGAACCAGCCAUGCCGCGUGCAGGAAGACGGCUCUAUGAGUUGUAAACUGCUUUUGUACGAGGGUAAAUCCCGCUACGUGUAUCGGGUUGUAAGUAUCGUACGAAUAAGGAUCGGCUAACUCCGUGCCAGCAGCCGCGGUAAUACGGAGGAUUCAAGCGUUAUCCGGAUUAUUGGGUUUUAAGGGUGCGUAGGCGGGUCGAUAAGUUAGAUGUGAAAUUCCGGGGCUCAACCCCGGCACUGCCGUUGAAACUAUCAGGCUAGAGUUUAGUAGCGGUAGGCGGAAUGUAUGGUGUAGCGGUGAAAUGCAUAGAGAUCAUACAGAACACCGAUUGCGAAAGCAGCUCACCAGACUACGACUGACGUUGAGGCACGAAAGCGUGGGGAGCAAACAGGAUUAGAUACCCUAGUAGUC